Unclassified non-coding RNA from Erinaceus europaeus (western European hedgehog), 353 nucleotides. Its record names the gene 7SK. It matches the Rfam family "7SK RNA". From Rfam's summary of the family: 7SK was discovered as an abundant small nuclear RNA in the mid-70s but a possible function has only recently been suggested. Two independent studies have found that 7SK RNA binds the CDK9/cyclin T complex (known as elongation factor P-TEFb). P-TEFb activates transcription by phosphorylating the C-terminal domain of RNA polymerase II. Lineage: Eukaryota; Metazoa; Chordata; Mammalia; Eulipotyphla; Erinaceidae. The record is from Ensembl.
GGAUGUGAGGGCGAUCUGGCUGUGACAUCUGUCACCCCAUUGAUCGCCAGGGUUGAUUCGGUUGAUCUGGCUGGCUAGGCGGGUGUCCCCUUCCUCCCUCACCGCUCCAUGUGCGUCCCUCCCGAAGCUGCGUGCUCGGUCGAAGAGGACGGCCUUCCCCGAAUAGAGACGGACCGGUCUUCGGUCGAGGGUAUACGAGUGAGGGUAUACGAGUAGCUGCACUCCCCUGCUAGAACCUCCAAACAAGCUCUCAAGGUCCAAAAGUGUCUUCAAUAUGUUAGGGACUAGGCUGGAAACUCAGUCAUGCAUGUGGCAAAGCAGCUCAUUAUCCAAGUGAGAUAUUGUUAUCUUGC